Non-coding RNA from Gossypium hirsutum (cotton), 145 nucleotides. The record is from Rfam. NCBI's taxonomy places the organism in Eukaryota, Viridiplantae, Streptophyta, Magnoliopsida, Malvales, Malvaceae.
UAUUAAAAAUUUCAUUCAUUUCUACUAUUAAAAAAUGGUGUGGAUGACAGAAUAACUAAAUAUUUAUAUGUGACGUGCGACAUGUACCUCAUUAUGAUGUACAAUGACCGGUUGUUAACAAUAAAAAUGGAUGGACUUUUUAGCA